GAUGAACGCUGGCGGCGUGCCUAAUACAUGCAAGUCGAGCGAACAGACGAGGAGCUUGCUCCUCUGACGUUAGCGGCGGACGGGUGAGUAACACGUGGAUAACCUACCUAUAAGACUGGGAUAACUUCGGGAAACCGGAGUUAAUACCGGAUAAUAUAUUGAACCGCAUGGUUCAAUAGUGAAAGACGGUUUUGCUGUCACUUAUAGAUGGAUCCGCGCCGCAUUAGCUAGUUGGUAAGGUAACGGCUUACCAAGGCAACGAUGCGUAGCCGACCUGAGAGGGUGAUCGGCCACACUGGAACUGAGACACGGUCCAGACUCCUACGGGAGGCAGCAGUAGGGAAUCUUCCGCAAUGGGCGAAAGCCUGACGGAGCAACGCCGCGUGAGUGAUGAAGGUCUUCGGAUCGUAAAACUCUGUUAUUAGGGAAGAACAAAUGUGUAAGUAACGAUGCACGUCUUGACGGUACCUAAUCAGAAAGCCACGGCGAACUACGU
Molecule: ribosomal RNA, 496 nt
Filed under: uncultured bacterium
Lineage: Bacteria
Description: partial 16S ribosomal RNA
Rfam family: Bacterial small subunit ribosomal RNA
Source: RNAcentral